This 253-nucleotide ribosomal RNA is filed under the name uncultured bacterium. Its description in RNAcentral is "partial 16S ribosomal RNA". It matches the Rfam family "Bacterial small subunit ribosomal RNA", at positions 524 to 776 of the family's 1533-position model. The record is from RNAcentral.
UACGGAGGGUGCAAGCGUUAUCCGGAAUCACUGGGUUUAAAGGGUGCGUAGGCGGCACUGUAAGUCAGGGGUGAAAGGCUGCAGCUCAACUGUGGAAUUGCCUUUGAUACUGCGGUGCUAGAAUGAGAUUGAGGUAAGCGGAAGGUGGCAUGUAGCGGUGAAAUGCAUAGAUAUGCCAUAGAACACCAAUUGCGAAGGCAGCUUGCUAGAUCUUGAUUGACGCUGAGGCACGAAAGCGUGGGGAGCGAACAGG